UACGUAGGUCCCGAGCGUUGUCCGGAUUUAUUGGGCGUAAAGUGAGCGCAGGUGGUUUAUUAAGUCUGGUGUAAAAGGCAGUGGCUCAACCAUUGUAUGCAUUGGAAACUGGUAGACUUGAGUGCAGGAGAGGAGAGUGGAAUUCCAUGUGUAGCGGUGAAAUGCGUAGAUAUAUGGAGGAACACCGGUGGCGAAAGCGGCUCUCUGGCCUGUAACUGGCACUGAGGCUCGAAAGCGUGGGGAGCAAACAGG
Molecule: ribosomal RNA, 252 nt
Filed under: uncultured bacterium
Lineage: Bacteria
Description: partial 16S ribosomal RNA
Rfam family: Bacterial small subunit ribosomal RNA
Source: RNAcentral